Molecule: ribosomal RNA, 131 nt
Filed under: Bacillus cereus
Lineage: Bacteria; Bacillati; Bacillota; Bacilli; Caryophanales; Bacillaceae
Description: partial 16S ribosomal RNA
Rfam family: Bacterial small subunit ribosomal RNA
Source: RNAcentral
UUUAUUGGAGAGUUUGAUCCUGGCUCAGGAUGAACGCUGGUGGCGUGCCUAAUACAUGCAAGUCGAGCGAAUGGAUUAAGAGCUUGCUCUUAUGAAGUUAGCGGCGGACGGGUGAGUAACACGUGGGUAAC